AUAUCAAUAAGCGGAGGAAAAGAAACUAACAAGGAUUCCCCUAGUAACUGCGAGUGAAGCGGGAAAAGCUCAAAUUUAAAAUCUGGUGGCUUUGGUCAUCCGAGUUGUAAUUUAGAGAAGCGUCUUCCGCGCUGGACCGUGCACAAGUCUCCUGGAAUGGAGCGUCAUAGAGGGUGAGAAUCCCGUCUUUGGCACGGACGCACCAGGGCUUCUGUGAUGCGCUCUCGAAGAGUCGAGUUGUUUGGGAAUGCAGCUCAAAAUGGGUGGUGAACUCCAUCUAAAGCUAAAUAUUGGCGAGAGACCGAUAGCGAACAAGUACCGUGAGGGAAAGAUGAAAAGCACUUUGGAAAGAGAGUGAAACAGUACGUGAAAUUGUUGAAAGGGAAACGCUUGAAGUCAGUCGCGUCGACCGAGACUCAGCCUUGCCUUGGCUUGGUGUACUUCUCGGCUGACGGGUCAGCAUCAAUUUCGCCCCUCGGAUAAUGGUGAGGGAAAUGUGGCACCUUUGCGGGUGUGUUAUAGUCCUUUGUCGCAUGCGAGGGUUGGGAUUGAGGAACUCAGCACGCGCCUUUCGGCGUCGGGGCUCUGCCCACGAUACGUGCUUAGGAUGUUGGCGUAAUGGCUUUAAACGA
RNAcentral lists this ribosomal RNA (632 nucleotides) under uncultured fungus. RNAcentral describes it as "eukaryotic LSU rRNA". It matches the Rfam family "Eukaryotic large subunit ribosomal RNA", at positions 40 to 647 of the family's 3401-position model. Lineage: Eukaryota; Fungi. The record is from RNAcentral.